GAAAAGAGUAAUCAGAAUGCAUGACGCAGCACAACCCAAAAUGAACAGGAAAUGAAAUUCAAAAACCAAAUGUUGAUUAUAAAUGAGACACAUAGAUUCCAACAUCAUCCAUUUCCAAUUUUAGCCAUUGAGAAUUGGAGAAAAAACCCACUAAAUGAUAAGUUUCUUCCCAUGAUGGAUGAUGCCUCAGAAACAACAACUAUUAAUAUGAACUAAGCUAAAAGUUCAAAUUUUGAGAAGUAAAACAGAAAGCAAAGCAAACACCAAGGAAAACAUAAGCAAAUGCAUGUCAAAAUGACUAUAUAAGAGAAGACUAAAA
RNAcentral lists this unclassified non-coding RNA (319 nucleotides) under Hevea brasiliensis (rubber tree). The record is from RNAcentral. Lineage: Eukaryota; Viridiplantae; Streptophyta; Magnoliopsida; Malpighiales; Euphorbiaceae.